Molecule: long non-coding RNA, 823 nt
Organism: Leptinotarsa decemlineata (Colorado potato beetle)
Lineage: Eukaryota; Metazoa; Arthropoda; Insecta; Coleoptera; Chrysomelidae
Source: RefSeq, a predicted model, not a curated record
UACUACUUGUGUUUUCACUGAUUCAAUAUCAUACGUGUGACAAGACUUUCAACAACAGUUAAAAAUAUGCAACGCAUAUUGAGUGUACAACUGAGUAGAAGUGAUAUUGCUACAUCAGAAUUUGUUAGUAAACGAUUGUGUUGUAGUAUAAUUCUCACAGUGGCGUUUUUCUCUCUAAUCGGAGGUAUGCUAUUUGAUAAUAACACACUAGAUGUUCGUCUUAGACAACGAGCUCACAUUUAUUUGAAUUUUGGUAACAAUGCUAUGGAAAGGAAACGUUCUGCUUUCUAUUUUAGCAGAACUUUGUAUUGAUAAUGCUAUUUCCCAAGCACCUUUUUUUUGCCGUUUUUUCUUGGGCAGGUUUGUUGCCAACCAAACAACAGUGCGACUGCAAAACAGUUACCAAGAUAUUUGUGGAAAAGUGAACGCUUUAAAUCGUAAUUUACAAAACGCAUUUCGGGAAGGUACUAACGAAAUUGGUAAACAAAACAAAUUUUGCGAACUCAAAUUUUUGAAAUGCAACUUCACACAAAUUGGACAAAAUAGCAGUGGACAACUAGCAGUAUCGGAUUACUUGAGAGUUCUGAACAGUUGUUUUAGUAAUAGAUGAAUAAUUUUCAUUUAGACAAAUUAAUCAAUAUUUCAAAAACAAUUUUUUCAGUAAACGAAUAUUUUUAUUGAAAAUGUACUUGUUAAACAGUAUUCACAAACAAACAUUUUCAAAAAGCUAUAUUGAUUUCUAAGUAUUCCUUUGUUGCAACUUUGAUAAGUUUCAAGGAAUUUUAUAUUGUAAUAUUUUAUUAAAAACAAUACUCAAAACGUA